This is a non-coding RNA of Bos taurus (domestic cattle), 73 nucleotides long. NCBI's taxonomy places the organism in Eukaryota, Metazoa, Chordata, Mammalia, Artiodactyla, Bovidae. The record is from Rfam.
UCCGGAAUAGCUCAGUUGGGAGAGAGUUAGAUUGAAGAUCUAAAGCUCCCUGGUUCGAUCCAGGGUUCUGGCA